CAGAAAAGCCAGUUUUCUCAGUGUGUCAAAGAUCACCAUUUCAAAGGCCAUUUUGUCUAAGUUUAACUGGUUGUGUUUUUCUGGUUAACUCAAGUGACAUCUGUUCCCGAACUGUUCCUGACGGCAGUGAAGCUCAGCCACGAUGACACAGGAGCCAGGUAUUUACACCUGGCCAGAGAAGACACGAAUAAUCUGUUCAGGAUUCCUGAACAAUGGACGGUCAGCUCUCAUGUCCUGGUUCAUAUCGCCCCAGCACACCACGGCUAGAAACCUUUCAGCCAACUUCCACUUAUGUCUCCCUGGGCAGGACAAUGUCACUUGGCCAAUCCCCAAGAGGGACUCCGGAAAGGCUGGAGUUCAAUGGUGUAAUCUCGGCUCACUGCAACCUCUGCCUCCUGGAUUCAAGCAGUUCUACUGCCUCAGCCUUCCGAGUAGCUGGGAUUACAGAUUUCCUGUGAAGUGCAGAAGCACCGUCGUAGAAGCAGAGAAGCAGAGAUGCAGAGGCAGCGCUGGUGACUCACACAUGGAGAGCUGGA
RNAcentral lists this long non-coding RNA (536 nucleotides) under Piliocolobus tephrosceles (Ugandan red Colobus). RNAcentral's name for it is "lncRNA (ENSPTEG00000008104.1)". The record is from RNAcentral. Lineage: Eukaryota; Metazoa; Chordata; Mammalia; Primates; Cercopithecidae.